This is a non-coding RNA of Phalacrocorax carbo (great cormorant), 812 nucleotides long. Lineage: Eukaryota; Metazoa; Chordata; Aves; Suliformes; Phalacrocoracidae. The record is from RefSeq and is a predicted model, not a curated record.
AAACGCGCUGCGUCCCCGCUCGCAAGCGGCGACAUUUCGGAGGUUAAUAGCUCGGGUGUGGAGAACGCAGUACUGGGCUGGUUUGGGAGGCUGCAGGGUCUGCCGGAGGAAAAUCAUGGAAAUUUAAGAACACACAGGGCUCCCGAAAAAAAUUCAGCCUGCACACUGGGGAUCGUCUUUUGCCUGCCAAAAGCAGUUAGCUUUUUACGUACCACGCUAAUUUAAUUAUGGGUCUUUUUCAAAAGUCGCCAUUCGUCCAUGAGCACAGGAGAUGCUUCACCCACCGAGGGGCCCCCUGAAGCUCCAGUGGCUGUCACAGACCAGGAGCCAUGGGGCAGACCCGCUGUUCUGCACGGUGAUUUCCCUACCGUACCCGCUCUGCCGACACCACCUCAGGGAGAGAAUGCGGCACUGAAUUCCCUUACACAGCUGAUCUGGCUCGUGCUGAGACCCCGGCACGCUUGCUCUCCAGCGACCCGAGUGGGAUGUCACCCACCCCGCUGGCAUCCGUCCAUCAUCGCAUCGGCGGGGCGUGGGGCUUCUGUCAUUAAACCCACAUGCAAAAAAAUACUUUCUCAAAGCGGUUGUUAUUCUACCAAAGUACCGUUCCAGCAGUUUUGGUUCAGUUCCAUUUAUUGGUUUAAUAUACACCCCCACCCCAAAAUUAGAAAAAACUAACAUUUUGAAACAACUUUUGCUUCUUCAUCAGUAUUGACGGAUCAGUAUUUCCCUUUUAUUGCCUUUCAUGCUAUGGAUCUUCCAAAUAAAAAGUGUAUUUAAUUAGAAAAUAAAUGUAUUAGCAUCUAAACACA